AGCCAAUGGAGUAAAUGUGCGACAACACAACCAAGAAACAGCAAUGGCGUCGAAGCGUGCGCAGGCAGCAAUGGCUGGGGCUAUUGACACUGUGCUGUAGCUGCUUGCUGUGCGGAUGGAGGACUUGGCACCACAGCUGGGUGGCAUACUCGUCGGUGACACCAGCAGUGAUGAGCCCAACUCACAGAGCACACUGUAUUCUGGCGGCAUCAGUGUCCCUGUGACCUUGGUGGUGUCGGGUGGCCUCCCUGACCAAGCAGAUAUGGAAACCCACAGCAGUGCCAUGUUGUCCACUCUAGCACUACAUACUGAUGAUGGUUGUGGCCCAGCAACACAAUUUUUUCUUGAGCAACUAGCUGAUGGCCAAACACGCCUAAAAACUGCAGACGGGCAUAUGUUGGAAGUUGACAUUGACCCAGGAACUGUUGGCCUUGUUCAAGGGAAUUCUGGAGUUCCUGUGCUACUCCAGGUGUCACCUGAUGGGACAUUACUCCAGAGAGAUGAUGUGCAGAUAGCAUUGGCAGCAUCGGGCGCAGUGGCUGAUAACUCCACUGACAGCACAGAGGAACAACGCGAGGGAGCUGGCAGCUCUACACCUUGUGAAGACUCGGAAGAACCCAUGUUUCAAGAUGGGGAGCCGAUGCCUCUACAGAUGUACCUCCAGGUGGGUAAGGAAGCAGCUGAUGAGAACAGUGCCUCCAUGGAGGAUGUUGUCCAGGCAAAUACUGGCACUGCUGUUGCCAUUGUCACUCCUGAUGGUGACGAAUCGGAUGCUGAUGAACUGCCAACACCCACUGUUGUUCGACGUGUAGAGCGAGUGGAACGUCUGGAGGAUUUUAUGGAUGUGGUGACUACAUAUCACUGCAAGUUCUGUAGCUUCUCCUGUGCCUGGCGCUCUGGACUUAUGUCCCACUUCAGGAGUUGCCACGUGGCCCCAUCAUCAGGCAGCAGCUUCGAUCCCAUUGAACGACCUGUUAACAGCAGACCCGCAGUAAAGCCAGCAUCCAAAACUGCCCGAGCAGGCAGCAAUGCGGUGGCUUUUGCCCUGACUACAACAGGUCCUGGUUUGAACACUGCUGUUGCUGGCGCUGCUACUGGUGCAGGAGCUGAGCCAAGCAUAGAAGUUGACACUGGUGCUACGCAGCCUGCAGUGACUGGUCCAGAGGAGCCUCCUCAGCCUCCCACCGGCACACCAGCCAACACGCAAGUCAGUGAAACUACAUCAAAGCUGGCUACUGACACUGUACCCAGUCGUGCUCCUAUGGAUGCUUCCUUAGUGCUGGAGAGUGCACUGGCCAGUAUGGUGUCCACUGGCAGCAAUGAAGUGCUGCCAAGUGGCAGCAGCCUGCUCCCAAGGGGUGAGGAUGGUCAACCAGUGCCAGCCCAAGAGCGACACAUUUUCAUCUGUGGACAGUGCAGUCAUGGCUUUGGCUCCCUGGAUGAAUGCAAGGAACACAUGGUUGAGGUACAUGACUUGAAAGUUGCUGCCGAGUGUGGUGUAGAGUCAAAGAAGACUGCAACUGGCCGCAAGCGAGGCCGGCCACGAGUUAUGCCUGAACUAUCCAGCAGUGCAUCCGGCACAUCCUGCACAGCUACUACUGGCUCUGAUGUGAUCGAAGGUGCAUUGCAGUCUGUUGAUGAUGGGGAUUUGGAUGAUGGCAGCAAUGAAGCACUUGGCAAGCGUAGAGUACGCCCUCCUAAGAACCUCGAGGAAGACUACUUAGUAGCUCCAGCUAGAAGACGGCGUGCAAAGAAAGAAAAUGCUGCUGAGAGGCAAUACAGGUGCGGGGAACGCAGUUGUGGUUACCGUUUCCGUACUGAAAGCAGCCUUGAAUAUCAUGGGCGGUGCCAUACACCCACUGGCACCCGACCAUACCGCUGUCCAGAGUGUGGGGAACAGAGAGACCAUUGGCGCAGCCUUGCUAUGCAUCUUUGGAGAAGUCACAUGCUGGACUUGGACUUGCACAGGUGUGCUCAGUGCGAGUACCGGACAUUCAGUGCUUUCAAGCUUGAGAACCACGCACGAAUUCAUAGUGAGGAGCGUGACUUCACAUGUGCCCAGUGCGGAAAGGGUUUCAAGCAGCUCUCACAGCUACGUAACCAUCAUGUUGUGCAUUUGGACCGCAAGAACACACCACAUAAACGUUGGUACAGCCAGCAGACCUGUGAACUUUGUCAGCGCACAUUCUCAGACUCCAAAUGUUUACGCAAGCACCAUCAAGCAGUUCAUGGAAAGGUGAAGCCAUAUGUGUGCUCGUUCUGUGGCCACAUGUCUGCACGCAAGGCCAUGCUACAACUGCACCUCCGCCAGCACACAGGGGAGAAGCCAUUUGCAUGCAACCUGUGCGAGUACCGCACAGGCGACCACAAUUCACUGCGCAGGCACAAAAUGCGUCACUCUGGUACCAAGCCGUACAAGUGCCCACACUGCCCUUACGCCUGCAUCCAGGCUAUCUCAUACAAGAUGCACAUGAAAAACAAGCAUCCUGGCUUGGAUGGAUUGUAUGCCUGUUCACUAUGCAGUUUUCGUUCAGUAAGCAAGGAGAACUACACCAACCACAUGUCAGACCAUAAACGAGGUUUCCUUGCCGUGCCUGCCCAGCUUUCCAGUCCGAGCACAGCCAACUCUACAGCUAGCACAGAAGGCGAAGGACUGCAGUUGCCUGAAGGCACCCUGCAGCAGCUGGAAGGUAUUCUACCAGGCAACUUAAAUGCAGCUCAACUCAUCUAUAGCUGUUUAAGUGCCCUACAGCAGGAAGGGGGAUCUGCCAACCUGCCUCCUGGUGUAACUACAUACUCAACUGGUGAUGGCACACAGACAAUCACUAUACAGGUUCCCUCAUCCACAGCAGGAGAUGACAGUGGAUCAUCACUUCUGGCAACACCUUCUGAACAAGACCAGUUUUAUUUGACAGUACAACAACAGGAAGAUGGAAGUAUGGCUUACCUGAGUGGGGAGGGAUUUUCGUCACAGGGAGCUGAUAUGGACGACGAUGCUGCAGGCCUCAAGAUCAGUGCUGUGCACUUCACAGGAAGCAGAUAAUGCUGUUUCAAAGGCUCCUAUACCCUGGAACUGCUGCAUGUGAACUGAAACAGGCCCAGAGUGCGGAAACUCAACUUUCACAUCUGCAUCAUCAUCAUUAGAAGCUUGAUGCUCAUGCAAACAGUAUCUGUUGACGCCAUGUGCAGCUUCUGUACUGCAGGCCUCACAGUUGUGCCAUGAGCUCAGUUCAGUCUGUGAUUAGGUUGUGAUGGUGUGCUUUAUGAGUACUAUGAGGCUGCAUUUUAACACAUUUUUGUUUUGUGGUAGAACUGGAAUGGUGGGCUUUGACCCUGAGUACUGUGAAGCAGAUUUUUUUUCCUCUUAAGCUGUCAGGCAGCCCAUUGUUUUUACUUGUCUACAGAUUUUUUGAAUGAGGAUGCUAUUGCCAAUUUUUUGCAUGAUAAUUCAAACGAGCCUCUGGUUCAGCCAGACCAACAAUUUCUGUUUUUAUUUGCUAGAUGAGCAAUUCUUUUUUACUAUACAAACUAGCAGAAGGUCUAGUAUGCUAAUUGUUUGAACAGUUGCUUGGAAAAUGGUGCACUGUACUGUGAUGCUGCUCUAUAUCACUGUAGUAUGCUG
This 3622-nucleotide unclassified non-coding RNA is filed under the name Dermacentor andersoni. RNAcentral's name for it is "zinc finger protein 236-like". The record is from RNAcentral. Lineage: Eukaryota; Metazoa; Arthropoda; Arachnida; Ixodida; Ixodidae.